UGUAAAAUAAGCUAAACACUAAGCUUUUGGGUUCAUACCCCAAAUAUGAAUGGACUAUUCUUUUACAA
This 68-nucleotide transfer RNA is filed under the name Conus tribblei. Its description in RNAcentral is "tRNA-Met". The record is from RNAcentral. Lineage: Eukaryota; Metazoa; Mollusca; Gastropoda; Neogastropoda; Conidae.